This 404-nucleotide ribosomal RNA is filed under the name uncultured bacterium. Its description in RNAcentral is "partial 16S ribosomal RNA". It matches the Rfam family "Bacterial small subunit ribosomal RNA", at positions 355 to 749 of the family's 1533-position model. The record is from RNAcentral.
UGGGGAAUAUUGCACAAUGGGCGCAAGCCUGGUGCAGCCAUGCCGCGUGUGUGAAGAAGGCCUUCGGGUUGUAAAGCACUUUCAGCGAGGAGGAAGGCGUUAAGGUUAAUAACCUUAGCGAUUGACGUUACUCGCAGAAGAAGCACCGGCUAACUCCGUGCCAGCAGCCGCGGUAAUACGGAGGGUGCAAGCGUUAAUCGGAAUUACUGGGCGUAAAAGCGCACGCAGGCGGUUUGUUAAGUCAGAUGUGAAAUCCCCGCGCUUAACGUGGGAACUGCAUUUGAAACUGGCAAGCUAGAGUCUUGUAGAGGGGGGUAGAAUUCCAGGUGUAGCGGUGAAAAUGCGUAGAGAUCUGGAGGAAUACCGGUGGCGAAGGCGGCCCCCUGGACAAAGACUGACGCUCC